This 589-nucleotide ribosomal RNA is filed under the name Campsicnemus patellifer. RNAcentral's name for it is "partial 12S ribosomal RNA". Lineage: Eukaryota; Metazoa; Arthropoda; Insecta; Diptera; Dolichopodidae. The record is from RNAcentral.
UGCCAGCAGCUGCGGUUAAACAAAGAAUACAAAUAAAUUUUAUAAAUAUAAAAGUUAAAUUGAAUUUAUUUAAUUAAUAAAAGAAAAUUAGGUGAAAUUUUAUUUUUUUUUAAUUAAUAUAAAAAAUUGUAUUGAAUCUUGAAAAUUUUAUUUUUAAACUAGGAUUAGAUACCCUAUUAUUUAAUUAUUUAUUAAUAAAAGAUUAGAGUAGUAAUAGUUAUGGUCUUGAAACUCAAAAAAUUUGGCGGUAUUUUAGUCUAUUCAGAGGAACCUGUAAUGUAAUCGAUAAUCCACGAUGGAUCUUACUUAAUUUUGUAAUUUAAUUUGUAUAUCGCCGUUAUUUGAAAAUUUUAUAAGAAAAAUAAUUUUCUAAAAUUUUUAUUAAAAAAUAAAUCAGGUCAAGGUGCAGUUUAUAAUUAAGUUUUAUAUGGGUUACAAUAAAUUUAUUUAAACGAAUUAGAAAAUGAAAUAUUUUUAAGAAGGUGGAUUUGAUAGUAAAUUUUUAAAGAUAGAAAAAUUGAUUUUAGCUCUAAAAUAUGUACACAUCGCCCGUCGCUCUUGUUAAUAAUAUAAGAUAAGUCGUAACAUA